This 160-nucleotide ribosomal RNA is filed under the name Symbiodinium sp. ex Hydnophora exesa. RNAcentral describes it as "partial 18S ribosomal RNA". It matches the Rfam family "Eukaryotic small subunit ribosomal RNA", at positions 1683 to 1831 of the family's 1831-position model. Lineage: Eukaryota; Dinophyceae; Suessiales; Symbiodiniaceae. The record is from RNAcentral.
UUCCAAAAAACAAAAAACAAAAAAAACCCCGGGGAAUUUUUGGACUGACGCAGUGCUCAGCUUUUGGACGUUGCGUCGGAAAGUUUCAUGAACCUUAUCACUUAGAGGAAGGAGAAGUCGUAACAAGGUUUCCGUAGGUGAACCUGCGGAAGGAUCAUUC